AGAUAGAUAGAUAGAUAGAUAGAGAUAACUAGAUAAUUGUUGUUCUGCACUUUGGCCUGUUGUGCUAUGCAUGCACGUUCUCAUUCAUAAAAGAAGGACAAUUCGGCCUCCAGCCCAGGUCUUUCUUUCUUUUCUUUUUUUUUUUUUUUACCUCCCCCCGCCCCCCCGAACACUUGGCUGGAGCCCCUUUUGUCUUGAUUGGAGCCCCUCACACAAACACACCCAUUCCACAACUACUCACCCUACUACUGAUCUUUUGAUACUUUGUUCUCUGACGAAUGGUCCAAGCAUCGCCAUAUACAGUGAGUAGAACACUGACCCCCCCCCCCCAUUCAAACGGCAGCUUUUUGAAAACCCAAGAUAUUCCAUUUGAAAUGUUGACCUUCUCCCAUUUAAAGGUGCGCAAACCCGUGCCAUUUUAUUUUUGCCAUUUGUAAAAGUACUUUUAUCAUCAUUUUAAUAAGCUCUCUUUUUCUCUAAGCAGAGCUCGCUGCCUCAUCGUGGGAAUCUGGCCGCCUAUCCUCUCAUUGUUCUGUCGGUUUGUGUGGACGUGACCCAACCACCGACACAGCGCUCUCCUCCCCCGCCCAGUGUGUGCUCUGCAUUCUUCGGGCCUCUGUAUUUUUUGGAGAAGAGGUGUCACCAAAGACAGCCCCAAAUCCAGCCUUCAGAAUGACGGACGGCUGUUGCGCUUGUGAGUUGCUCACGUCCACCUCCAGCCAUUACAUCUGGAGCAAGAUGGCUCCACUUGGCAACAGUUGAAGCCUUCCCCAGCUGCCAUGGCAACCCGCGCUGGUACAGCAUGACAGACAGACAGCCAGGUAAGUGAUAUUAAAACCAGAAAAAAUCAGCUUUUGCUGUAACCGCUUGAUAUGUCAGCCAGCACUCGCAUC
Molecule: long non-coding RNA, 893 nt
Organism: Syngnathus acus (greater pipefish)
Lineage: Eukaryota; Metazoa; Chordata; Actinopteri; Syngnathiformes; Syngnathidae
Exons: 2
Source: RefSeq, a predicted model, not a curated record